AGAAACUUAGGUUAAUCCAACCAUGGGCCUUCAAAGCCUAAAAUAGAAGCGCGCACUUCUAGUUUCUG
This 68-nucleotide transfer RNA is filed under the name Craugastor stejnegerianus (Stejneger's rainfrog). RNAcentral describes it as "tRNA-Trp". Lineage: Eukaryota; Metazoa; Chordata; Amphibia; Anura; Craugastoridae. The record is from RNAcentral.